Molecule: ribosomal RNA, 427 nt
Filed under: uncultured bacterium
Lineage: Bacteria
Description: partial 16S ribosomal RNA
Rfam family: Bacterial small subunit ribosomal RNA
Source: RNAcentral
UGGGGAAUAUUGCACAAUGGGCGCAAGCCUGUUGCAGCCAUGCCGCGUGUAUGAAGAAGGCCUUCGGGUUGUAAAGUACUUUCAGCGGGGAGGAAGGUGUUGUGGUUAAUAACCGCAGCAAUUGACGUUACCCGCAGAAGAAGCACCGGCUAACUCCGUGCCAGCAGCCGCGGUAAUACGGAGGGUGCAAGCGUUAAUCGGAAUUACUGGGCGUAAAGCGCACGCAGGCGGUCUGUCAAGUCGGAUGUGAAAUCCCCGGGCUCAACCUGGGAACUGCAUUCGAAACUGGCAGGCUAGAGUCUUGUAGAGGGGGGUAGAAUUCCAGGUGUAGCGGUGAAAUGCGUAGAGAUCUGGAGGAAUACCGGUGGCGAAGGCGGCCCCCUGGACAAAGACUGACGCUCAGGUGCGAAAGCGUGGGGAGCAAACA